AAAAAGGACUUCUGCCAUGAGUGGCAAGCAUAGGGCAAAUUUCUUGCUCUAUGUGUGGAAUCCACAUCAAGAAGUUUUGGAAGCAUGAUGUUUUGGCAGUAAUGAAGCUGUUGAUUAUUGGUCCUGGCAACCCC
Small nuclear RNA from Sorex araneus (European shrew), 134 nucleotides. Lineage: Eukaryota; Metazoa; Chordata; Mammalia; Eulipotyphla; Soricidae. The record is from Ensembl.